RNAcentral lists this ribosomal RNA (520 nucleotides) under uncultured Glomus. RNAcentral's name for it is "SSU rRNA". It matches the Rfam family "Eukaryotic small subunit ribosomal RNA", at positions 569 to 1087 of the family's 1831-position model. Lineage: Eukaryota; Fungi; Glomeromycota; Glomeromycetes; Glomerales; Glomeraceae. The record is from RNAcentral.
AGCAGCCGCGGUAAUUCCAGCUCCAAUAGCGUAUAUUAAAGUUGUUGCAGUUAAAAAGCUCGUAGUUGAAUUUCGGGAUCAAUACGUCUGUCGUGCCUCUGGUACGUACGGGUGUAAUUGGUUUCUACCUUCUGAGGAUCCUUGAUGUCAUUAAUUUGGUGUCUUGGGGAAUCAGGACUGUUACCUUGAAAAAAUUAGAGUGUUUAAAGCAGGCAUACGCUUGAAUACAUUAGCAUGGAAUAAUGAAAUAGGACGUUCGAUUCUAUUUUGUUGGUUUCUAGGAUCGACGUAAUGAUUAAUAGGGAUAGUUGGGGGGCAUUAGUAUUCAAUUGUCAGAGGUGAAAUUCUUGGAUUUAUUGAAGACUAACUACUGCGAAAGCAUUUGCCAAGGAUGUUUUCAUUAAUCAAGAACGAAAGUUAGGGAUCGAAGACGAUCAGAUACCGUCGUAGUCUUAACCAUAAACUAUGCCGACUAGGGAUCGGGAUGAUUGUUAAUUUUUUAAUGUACUCAUUCGGCGCC